AACGAACGCUGGCGGCAUGCCUAACACAUGCAAGUCGAACGGGAUCCUAGCUUGCUAGGUGAGAGUGGCGGACGGGUGAGUAACACGUGGGAAUCUGCCUUUUGGUUCGGGAUAACCGCGGGAAACUGCGGCUAAUACCGAAUGCCCUCGUGAGAGGAAAGAUUUAUCGCCAGAAGAGGAGCCCGCGUCCGAUUAGGUAGUUGGUGGGGUAAAGGCCUACCAAGCCGACGAUCGGUAGCUGGUCUGAGAGGAUGAUCAGCCACACUGGGACUGAGAUACGGCCCAGACUCCUACGGGAGGCAGCAGUGGGGAAUAUUGGACAAUGGGGCAACCCUGAUCCAGCAAUGCCGCGUGAGUGAUGAAGGCCUUAGGGUUGUAAAGCUCUUUUGCCAGGGAAGAUGAUGACUGUACCUGGAGAAUAAGCCCCGGCUAACUUCGUGCCAGCAGCCGCGGUAAU
RNAcentral lists this ribosomal RNA (457 nucleotides) under uncultured bacterium. RNAcentral's name for it is "bacterial SSU rRNA". It matches the Rfam family "Bacterial small subunit ribosomal RNA", at positions 29 to 524 of the family's 1533-position model. The record is from RNAcentral.